Molecule: ribosomal RNA, 468 nt
Filed under: uncultured bacterium
Lineage: Bacteria
Description: partial 16S ribosomal RNA
Rfam family: Bacterial small subunit ribosomal RNA
Source: RNAcentral
GACGAACGCUGGCGGCGUGCUUAACACAUGCAAGUCGAACGGAAAGGCCCGGCUUGUGGGCGUGGCUCGAUGGGCGAACGUGUGAGGAACACGUGAGAAACCUGCCCUUGAUUUUGGGAUAACCUUAGGAAACUGGGGCUAAUACCCGAUAGGAGCUCCGGCGGCAGGGGAGGGUUUGGAACGGUGCGGCGGUUGGGGAUAGAGGGGCGGCUUCUCAGCCUGUUGGUGGGGGAGGGGCUUACCAAGGGUUUGACGGAUAGCCGGCCUGAGAGGGUGACCGGCCACCUUGGGACUGAGAUACGGCGCAGACUCCUACGGGCGGCAGCAGUGGGGAAUAUUGCACAAUGCGCGGAAGCCUGAUGCAGCAACGCCGCGGUCGGGAUGACGGCCUUCGGGUUAUAAACCGCUUUCGCCUGUGACGAAGCGUUAGUGACGGUAAUGGGUAAAGAAGCACCGGCUAACUCCGUG